UCUCCGUUGGUGAACCAGCGGAGGGAUCAUUACAGGAUUCGCAAGAACUCCCGUAACCACUGUGAACCUUACCUUCUGUUGCCUCGGCGGGCGCUGGUCUCGACCAGCGCUCACGCCCGCCGACGGCCCACAACUCUUGUCUCUUGCGUUGGCAUCUCCGAGCAAACAAAAACGAGUCAAAACUUUUAACAACGGAUCUCUUGGUUCUGGCAUCGAUGAAGAACGCAGC
RNAcentral lists this unclassified non-coding RNA (229 nucleotides) under uncultured fungus. RNAcentral describes it as "sequence contains ITS1, 5.8S rRNA gene". The stretch from base 181 to 229 matches the Rfam family "5.8S ribosomal RNA", at positions 1 to 49 of the family's 154-position model. Lineage: Eukaryota; Fungi. The record is from RNAcentral.